GUGGACUUGGAUCCAGCAAGGUGCCAGCCCAGAAGUGUGUGUGUGUGUGUGUCUAGUGGACUUGGAUCCAGCAAGGUGCCAGCCCAGAAGUGUGUGUGUGUGUGUGUCUAGUGGACCUGGAUCCAGCAAGGUGCCAGCCCAGAAGUGUGUGUGUGUGUGUGUCUAGUGGACUUGGAUCCAGCAAGGUGCCAGCCCAGAAGUGUGUGUGUGUGUGUCUAGUGGACUUGGAUCCAGCAAGGUGCCAGCCCAGAAGUGUGUGUGUGUGUGUGUCUAGUGGACUUGGAUCCAGCAAGGUGCCAGCCCAGAAGUGUGUGUGUG
Oncorhynchus keta (chum salmon) is the source of this 318-nucleotide long non-coding RNA. RefSeq lists it as uncharacterized. The transcript is spliced from 4 exons. The record is from RefSeq and is a predicted model, not a curated record. NCBI's taxonomy places the organism in Eukaryota, Metazoa, Chordata, Actinopteri, Salmoniformes, Salmonidae.